GUAAGAAUCAAAAGUAAAUGUAAUUGCUCAAAUAUACUUUGUCAAAAGUAAAAGUAUAAAUCACUUUAAAAUUCCUUAUUAUUAAGCAAACCAGAGCACCAUUUGCUUGUUUUUUAUUUUAAUUUACAGCUAGCCAGAUGCACACACCAAUACCCAGUUGACUACAUUAAAAUGGUAGAAGCACUCAAUGGUGCUGCCCAUCCUUAAACAGCGUUUUGGUCCCUAGAGGCCUUCACCACAUAGCCUGGUUUCUUCCUAGGUUUUGGCCUUUCUAGGGAGUUUUUCCUAGCCACCGUGCUUCUACACCUGCAUUGCUUGCUGUUUGGGGUUUCUGGCUGGGUUUCUGUACAGCACUUUGAGAUAUCAGCUGAUGUACGAAGGGCUAUAUAAAUCAAUUUGAUUUGGUCAUUAUCUAUGGGUAGGAUACACUUGACUAGCUGCAAAGAAAGGGGGCUAUUGAGGAAGCCUACUUGGUGGCUUUCCACACAACCCCUCAUAAUUGUUCCUCUGUCUUUUUAAAGGGGCCAUUUUGAUUGCUACAUACAUUUGACUUUUAAUUUCAUGACAUAUAGCCAUUGAUUCUUAAAGAUUAUAACUUAGAAAUGCCUCAUGAUCUUAGCUCAACUGUCCAACCCCAUCAACCCAAAGUGUAUGCUUGUUUUACUCAUUUGUGUGUAAACAAUGUGUACUUUUAAACCCUGUAUAGCCUCAACAUUUGUACAAAUGUAAAAAUAUGAGGAAGCCUACUUGGUGGCUUUCCACACAACCCCCUCAUAAUUGUUCCUCUGUCUUUUUAAAGGGGCCAUUUGAUUGCUACAUACAUUUGACUUUUAAUUUCAUGACAUAUGGCCAUGGAUGCAUACAUAGCUCUAUGAAUUCGAGUUGUUACAUUUGUCUAUUCCAAUUCCUCAGCUGUUUACCGAAACAGUGGCGGGGAAGCCUGCUGUGUUAUUGUUUGAACUGCAGAUUGCCUCUUCAAUCGAGAUUCGGUAAUAGACCGUCGCGAGAACACCACAGAGAAGACAACUUUUCCGUCUGCUCUCGUGGAGUCUGAGGUAAGUAAUCUCUGGCCAAUUUUAAUAACAAUCGCUUUAAUGUAGGUUAAAGCCGAAUGGCUAGACUUUUAAGUGGCUCUGUCAUUAGCUAACGGUCGCUUGGAAAUUGAUUUGAGGGCCUUGCUUCUAGCUAGUCUCACACAAAGGUAAUAAGACACGGCCACAAUUUAGCUAUGCUCAAAUAAAACUUCCAAUGUGACUCCAGGUUAAUGCUUCGUGUCAUUGUACGCAUUUUACUCUUAAUUACUGACUUUUCUUCUCACCUUUUUGUUUCAUGGUGGUUACGAAGAUGGACUGUUUUUUUAUCGUUUGGUGAAACGGUAUCUGUGAGAACUGACAACCUCGCCUGUAACCGCGCUCCCUCUGUGGCCCCUUUGACAGUGGUUGUGGUUUGUGUUGUACGGAAUUGAAGCCUGACAGAAAUCUAUCAUGCCUACCUACACUCUGUGGGUUCCCUUGAGUGAUUUCAAGACCGAUAAGCCAUAUUGAAUGACGGCACUGUAAAACUUUAAAUUUCAGUGAUUAGGUUAUAUUUAGUACUGUUAUAACUAGGCUGAAGAGUCUGAUCAGUCUGAUUCACAUGGUCCAAUAAUUUAAGUAUGUCACACAUGGGCAAAUAACACGUUUACCACGUACUACCAAGUACGAUUUUAAGUCUGAUCAAGACAUGACAAAGUGAUGGCAGACGAGCAUUCCUGUCCCCCCUGUGAAUUUAAUGUUGCUUCAAUUUUUCUCCUAGAAAACAGCAGUACACUUCAGAAAUCAUUGACAAUCCUUUCUUCUAGCUUCCCCAAUGAUUCAAAACCUCUGAUAGGUAGUGGAUGGAUGCUGCUGUGAAUGACUGAAUAAAAUGGUGAUAUUAAUCAAUCAAUGUAUACAUGCAGUAACAUGUUGGCUUUGAAUGGAAGGAAAGCUGAUGUGAUGCCCCUUUCUCUCUCUCUCACAAUGUGGGGGUUGUGAUUGUCUGUGGCUGGUGUGCACAAGAUGGUGAAGUUAACACCCAAUCAUGUCAUACCCCAAUUACCUCCAGGUACUACAAUCUGCCAUUGUCACACCAGACUGACCACAGACCUGUAUCACUGAUCAAUUUUUAAAAAUGCAUUCAAAGGAACACCUCAUUCAAAGCAUUGCCAACACCUGCAGUUGGAUAUUUGAUUAGCUGUCAGUGAUGGCGUGAAAUGUUAUAUGUCCAGGUUUCAGCAGGACAAGCAUUGUGCCCCAUCCAUAAGAGAGAGCAGAUUAAGCUUUUCUGUGUGACUUGUGAUCAGCGGACUUGCCGUGAUUACCUCGACUAACCUGUAAGUAAGCAUUUCACUGUAAGCUCUACGGCGCAUGUGGCAUACGAUUUGAUUGUCAGCUAACCAUCAACAGGGAACACAAGUAAGAUUUCCCUCAAGCACCUCUUUGCUGGCAACCCCGAAGGUGGCAUCAGUUCCCUCAUGCCUUACAUUACUUCCUAUGCCAAAAACACUUGAUGUUUUUUUUAAACUAAGUAUAUUUAACUCUUUCCUCUGCUUCCUUCAGGAUAUUUUUUUUAAAGAUCCCACUCUCUCAUUUUUCUGUUUAUUUUCUCUAGGUACCAGUUAGCCCAGGAUGCUUUGCCAGAGCAGAGGAAAUGGUUACAGUAUCUAAUGGAGACUUUGAGGACAGAGAGAGUGACCGUGCAACAGGACCUAGAUGGACGGCUGUCUGACUUGGAGGAUCAGCUGGAGAGUGUUGGAGCGGAGGUCAAGGAUAUCCUCAAGGGCAUCUGGAGUGUCCUGGUGAAGAGAGCCAUGCAGCUUUCCAAGGAAAUGCAGCUUUAGGUCAGUGUCCCCAACUGCACUCAGGAAGAUGACAUUGACCUCACCCUUCACCUAGCAAUGAACUCUGCUCUCCUAUAGAGGAGUGUGAUGACCGUAUGGAUGAUUUUCAUGUCGGUGCUGCUGACAGUAUUGAAGAGACUGGGUGCCAGGUGUCUGUUGGGCUUAAUAGCAGGUGUCUUUGCUUCGGAUACCCAUCCUUGGUGCCCCGCCAACCCGCUUCUGCCGCCUCCCAGGUGUCAAAGGGCAGGAAACUGUCGUUCAGCAGUCAGAGUCUCCUUGCUCCUCUAUGUUGAGCCCAGACAGUCUUGAGGCACACCCCGUGCAGCUACGACCCCCUCCUGGCCAGGAGGAAGCUCACCCCUGUGUGUCACGUGUGGACGCCGCUUCCACAGGAAGUGUCACAUUCUGCCCAUCUAUGCCUUAUCCACCACCUCUCUUAACAUCGUCCUGAUACGGGGACUGUUGCUGCGGAAACUGCCCCCUCCCCUCACCGCACCCAGUCAGAAUUUGUGUCCAAUGUCUGGCUUCUCCACACACUGUUGAAGAGCGUGAAGUAUUCCAAGUCAGUGGACCGAUUUGAGGCAUGUUUCGGGAGGGAGCUGGUCAAAACGCUUGUGGGGAUCCUGCACCCUUCGCUGCUCGUCAACCCCCACCAAGGGGAAGCGGAGAGGAGUGCAGAACAAGAGGGGGGCAAGGAGAAAGUGUCCAUGAGGAGAAUCCAAGGCCUCUAGAGGAGCACGCAGGCAGAGUUCUUUCACACAGGACUCGAUGAAAGCUGGAGAAUGGCAGCAGAAGGCCGUAUUUGUGUAUUUAAUUUGGUCUUUGAAUUCCUUGGUGAACAUAUUUGUACAUAGUUGCAGCCAAAUAUUGGCACCCUUGCACUUUUUUUUCCUUUAAAAAAAAAAAUUUCUUCUAAAAUAACUUGAAAUUUGGAAAAACCUUUGGUAUCUACACCUUACUGUAUUUUCAACAUUACAGACCCAAUUUACCCAAUUGGUAAAUUUAAGUUUACAAUUUGGCAUGUACAAAAUGAUUGGCAAGUACUUGGUUGCAUAGCCUUUGGCCAAGAACUACAGACAAAUGCUUCUUGUAGGCAUCAGUAAGGUGGCUGCAUCUUAUUACUGGUGAUUUUACUCAGCCUUCAGAAGCAAACUGCUCUAAUUCUUUAAUGUUUGAGGGGUGCCCUCCACCAACUGCUGUUGUCAGCUCUCGCCAUAGGUUAUGGAUGUGGCAACUGCUCGGCCUCGUUCCUGCCAUCCAGGACCUCCUAUACCAGGCGGUGUCAGAGGAGGCCCUAAAAAUUGUCAGACUCCAGCCACCCUAGUCAUAGACUGUUCUCUCUGCUACCACACGGCAAGCUGUGCCAAGUCUAGGUCCAAAGGUCUUAACAGCUUCUACCCCCAAGCCAUAACUCCUGAACAGCUAAUCAAAUGGCUACCCAGACUAUUUUCAUUGCCCCCUUUCCUGCACCUAUUUUAUGCUGCUGCUACUCUCUGUGUAUUAUCUAUACAUAGUCACUUUAACUCUACCUACAUGUACAUAUUACUUCUACUAACCGGUACCUACUCACAUUGACUCUGUACCGGUAGCCCCUGUAUAUAGCCUCGCUAUUUGUUAUUUUACUGCUGCUCUUUAAUCAUUUGUUACUUUUUAUAUAAUUUGGUUGUGUGUGU
This is a long non-coding RNA of Oncorhynchus tshawytscha (Chinook salmon), 4533 nucleotides long. The record is from Ensembl. Lineage: Eukaryota; Metazoa; Chordata; Actinopteri; Salmoniformes; Salmonidae.